RNA transcript from Beta vulgaris subsp. vulgaris (sugar beet), 1732 nucleotides. RefSeq lists it as hypothetical. NCBI's taxonomy places the organism in Eukaryota, Viridiplantae, Streptophyta, Magnoliopsida, Caryophyllales, Amaranthaceae. The transcript is spliced from 4 exons. The record is from RefSeq and is a predicted model, not a curated record.
GUUCUAAGGUACUAUGUAUUUGUGUUGGAUUUUAGAUUUCUUAGGAAAUAUAUAUAAGUGCGGUUUAGCUUUUCUAUUAUCAAUAAAAUCCUAUCUCUGUAAAAAUAAAAUAAAAAAAAAAAAAAUACGUAUAAGUAAAGGCCCAAAUAAGAAACUUAUUUUAUUUUUGAAGAUCCUUAUUGGGUCAGCCCCCCGGCCGCAGAUGGUUAAACCGGCCCGUUCCAUUAUCCAGUAAACCGGGUUUUGCUAACUUUGGGAAACUUUGGAGCUUAGAGGGUGGUCAAUGAAAAUGGGGAUUAUCAGAGACAAGCGAACUUCUCAUACUUCAACUUCUCCUUGUGCUGAUCUCAGAAUUGCCUAUAAUAAUUGCUUCAACAGGUGGUAUGCUGAGAAAUAUGUGAAGGGUCAGUGGCAGAAUGAAGAGUGUGUUGUUGAGUGGGAAAAAUACAGGAAAUGCCUUUCUCAACACUUGGAAGAUAAGCAAUUAAGUAGGUUUCUGGAAGCUGAAGCUAGUGGAAUCCCGUCUUCUGGUGAUCGAGUCGAUAGGAAGAAUUCUUUUGAUGGUGCUUCAAUGGGUGCUGCCAAGUGAUGUGAUGAUAUUUUUUUGUUGUUGUACAUACUGAUGAUAAGUUGCUAACAAUUUCUGCAGAUAAAAAGAAACAGUGUAGCAGUAAAUUAUAGUUUUCACAGGCUCACCUGAAAGUAAAGGAGUAAAUUUGCUGCAGGCAUUGUUCCUCCAGUGAAGAAGUAACGAGUGAUCCAGUCAUCGUCGUUAACAUCCUGCACAAUAUUUUGUGAAACAAAGCUCUCCAACACAUCAGCAGAAAUCUUCUUCGAAUUCGACAAGUAUUGUAUGCUGGGAAAAGAAAGUACCUCAAAGUGGUAUGCAAAAGUUUUAUGACAAAAAUAAUGAACAAAUAGAAGUCCAUCAGGUUUCAUCCAAUUGGAUAUCUUCUUCAGAAGAUCUCUGUAGUUCUUCAUAUGCUGUAGAAUAAACCAAUUACAGAACAUAUCAAACACUGAACAAUGCUAACUGUAACUUCUAACUUGUUGAUAAAUUGUAGCCAAGUAUACUGUUAGACAUGCCUCAAACAUUUCGAUAGACAGUAUACGAUCAUAAGAUCCUUCCAUUUCGAAAGUACUGAUGUCGGCUACUAUGAUUUCAACGUUUUUCAGCUGGAGUUCCCUGAAGCAUAAGAAUUUACACACCUUAGUAAUUUAUUGCUGUAACUAUAUACUAUUAUCCAUGUCCCUAUAUAAAAAUUCACAUUUGAUUUCGAAUACCUUAAUAAUCCUUCUCUUCAUAUACAUAUCUCUUCAAAAUAUGUAGUUAGAGGUAUUGUUAAGGGUAACAUAGGCAAGCUUAGAGUUUUAUCUUACUAAAGUUAGAAAGCGGCCUAUUUGAGACACCCAAAAGUAGAAAAACGGCCUAUCUUUUAGGGACAGAGGGAGUAUAAAUGUAUACGUAAUAUGUAUCUAGUGGUUGUCUUUGAUUGGCAGCAAAAUGAGAUGAAGAUGAAUGAAAGACACACCUACAGCGGUCCUCAAUGUGCGCUUUCUGCGUCGUUGAAUUGCAAAUUCCGGUGACCUUACAAUUACUGUACUUUUGUGCAAUGUACAAAGAGAGUGACCCCCAGCCACAUCCAACAUCAAGAACAGUAUGACCAUCUUCUAUCCCUGAUCUUUCACAAUAUAAAUCUAACAUCACCUUCUCUGCGUCAUCUAAGUUUGU